GGGCCUGCAUUUCAGAAACGAAACUCACGAGAACAGGACCUGUCUUGUAGAGGGAGAUAAGGCAAUGCUAGGAUGACCAACUGUCCAGUUUGACCCCAGACCAUCUUGGUUUAGCAUGGAAAGGCUUGUGUCCCAGGAAACCACUCAGUCCCAGGCAAACUGGAAAGUUGGUCGCCCUACUGGGCUUAGUAGGCUGGCUUAUCAUGGCAGCUUUAUUGUGCUUUGAAGUGAUUUGGUGUUUUACUUAAAUUUUAAACCCAAGAAAAGCCUCUGAGCAUAUUGUGAAAUGGCAUGUAACCACAUGUAACUGAUGACUGCCAGUUAGAACCUUCAGCUUUUCUAAAUCUCUCUUCUCACAAGUUGUGGUGGGUCAGGGUUCCUAAACUUGUCUGCACAUUGGAAUCACCUGGGGAGCUUAAAAAAAAAGAGGAAGAAAGUGAUCUCUGUGUUCUACAUCACCCAAUUGUGAGUUAAUUGGUUUAAGGUGUGACCUGGGUGCUCCUAGUUUUAAAAGGUCCCCAGACGAUUCAAAUCUACAGACAAAUCCCACCAUCAGUAUCCCUGUGGUAGAUAGUAUUCAAAGAUGGCAGCCAUGACUACCUCUCUCUUUCUGGACACAUGCCAUUCAUCAGAGCCUCCAUGUGAGAGGUCUGAUUAUCCUGAGUCCACGCUGCUGUGAGGAGAGCAGUCGCUGAGUGAAGGAGCAGCUGGGCACAGACGUGUUCUUGGACCUUCUAGACCAGCCCAGCUAACAGCUGAAUUUGCCCAAGUGGGAGGCCCCAGCUGAAGCCACUAGGAUUGGAACUGUGCAGAACACGGUGUAUCGUUACAGUUUUUGAAUCUUCUGCUCGCACCCUAACAGAUGGAUGCUACCUGUGUGCUGCCUGGCUUUGUUGUGACACUCUGCCUGUCCUGCCUCCUCAAGACCAGAUUCUCAUGCUCCAGGUCUUCCUCCCGUAAUAGAUUAUCUAUUAAACUACACCCACCAGGCCUGAGUCAUUUGAAAUCUGAUUCUGAUGAUGAUUGGGAUGGACACAAACUGACCAAUUUAUCUUAGAAUGGGUCUACGCUAUUGCAGAAUCUUUCAAAAGACACUCAGUAGUGGACAGGUGAAGGUGGAAGAAAGGAUUCUCCCUAUUUAUUUCAACAUGUGUUGGCUGGCCUACCUGUUUGUAAACAGUCCCCUGCCAUCCUGUGAGCCAAAUGACGGAGAAAUGGGCUUAGAAUUGAGGGGAAAAUGCUUCCACAUUUUGUGAGCAAUAAGAAAAGGAAAGGAACAAGUAAUGUGAUUCUUUAAAGGUUAAAUAGAGUAAUACCUCCCAACUCAGCUUUGCUGGAGAAAGAGCUGCUCCAUAAGUGAAUUUUAAAGAAAGAUUUUAAGCACCAAAAACUUUGUAAAAACCUAUUUUGACCAUUAUAAGAUUGAAAUCUUUCUAAGAUGUAUUGCACACUCUCCUGCUUUGCUUUCUGAAUCAGAGCUCUCCUAACAUCAGCUAUUU
Molecule: long non-coding RNA, 1499 nt
Filed under: Equus asinus (donkey)
Lineage: Eukaryota; Metazoa; Chordata; Mammalia; Perissodactyla; Equidae
Description: lncRNA (ENSEASG00005034508.1)
Source: RNAcentral